Molecule: transfer RNA, 72 nt
Filed under: Nephroselmis olivacea
Lineage: Eukaryota; Viridiplantae; Chlorophyta; Nephroselmidophyceae; Nephroselmidales; Nephroselmidaceae
Description: transfer RNA-Ala
Rfam family: tRNA
About the family: Transfer RNA (tRNA) molecules are approximately 80 nucleotides in length. Their secondary structure includes four short double-helical elements and three loops (D, anti-codon, and T loops). Further hydrogen bonds mediate the characteristic L-shaped molecular structure. tRNAs have two regions of fundamental functional importance: the anti-codon, which is responsible for specific mRNA codon recognition, and the 3' end, to which the tRNAs corresponding amino acid is attached (by aminoacyl-tRNA synthetases). tRNAs cope with the degeneracy of the genetic code in two manners: having more than one tRNA (with a specific anti-codon) for a particular amino acid; and 'wobble' base-pairing, i.e. permitting non-standard base-pairing at the 3rd anti-codon position.
Source: RNAcentral
GGGGGUAUAGCUCAGUUGGUAGAGCGCCGCCUUUGCAAGGCGGAUGCCAGCGGUUCGAGUCCGCUUACCUCC